AGUGAACGCUGGCGGUAGGCCUAACACAUGCCAGUCGAACGGCAGCACAGUAAGAGCUUGCUCUUACGGGUGGCGAGUGGCGGACGGGUGAGGAAUACAUCGGAAUCUACUUUUUCGUGGGGGAUAACGUAGGGAAACUUACGCUAAUACCGCAUACGACCUACGGGUGAAAGCAGGGGAUCUUCGGACCUUGCGCGAUUGAAUGAGCCGAUGUCGGAUUAGCUAGUUGGCGGGGUAAAGGCCCACCAAGGCGACGAUCCGUAGCUGGUCUGAGAGGAUGAUCAGCCACACUGGAACUGAGACACGGUCCAGACUCCUACGGGAGGCAGCAGUGGGGAAUAUUGGACAAUGGGCGCAAGCCUGAUCCAGCCAUACCGCGUGGGUGAAGAAGGCCCUCGGGUUGUAAAGCCCUUCUGUUGGGAAAGAAAAGCAGCAGGUUAAUACCCCGCUGUUCUGACGGUACCCAAAGAAUAAGCACCGGCUAACUUCGUG
RNAcentral lists this ribosomal RNA (492 nucleotides) under uncultured bacterium. Its description in RNAcentral is "partial 16S ribosomal RNA". It matches the Rfam family "Bacterial small subunit ribosomal RNA", at positions 29 to 507 of the family's 1533-position model. The record is from RNAcentral.